GUGGGGAAUCUUGCGCAAUGGGCGAAAGCCUGACGCAGCCAUGCCGCGUGAAUGAUGAAGGUCUUAGGAUUGUAAAAUUCUUUCACCGGGGACGAUAAUGACGGUACCCGGAGAAGAAGCCCCGGCUAACUUCGUGCCAGCAGCCGCGGUAAUACGAAGGGGGCUAGCGUUGCUCGGAAUUACUGGGCGUAAAGGGCGCGUAGGCGGACAGUUUAGUCAGAGGUGAAAGCCCAGGGCUCAACCUUGGAAUUGCCUUUGAUACUGGCUGUCUUGAGUACGGGGGAGGUGAGUGGAACUCCGAGUGUAGAGGUGAAAUUCGUAGAUAUUCGGAAGAACACCAGUGGCGAAGGCGACUCACUGGCCCAAUACUGACGCUGAGGCGCGAAAGCGUGGGGAGCAAACAGGAUUAGAAACCCUUGUAGUCC
RNAcentral lists this ribosomal RNA (425 nucleotides) under uncultured bacterium. Its description in RNAcentral is "partial 16S ribosomal RNA". It matches the Rfam family "Bacterial small subunit ribosomal RNA", at positions 354 to 796 of the family's 1533-position model. The record is from RNAcentral.